GACGAACGCUGGCGGCGUGCUUAACACAUGCAAGUCGAACGGAAAGGCCCUGCUUUUGUGGGGUGCUCGAGUGGCGAACGGGUGAGUAACACGUGAGUAACCUGCCCUUGACUUUGGGAUAACUUCAGGAAACUGGGGCGAAUACCGGAUAGGAGCUCCUGCUGCAUGGUGGGGGUUGGAAAGUUUCGGCGGUUGGGGAUGGACUCGCGGCUUAUCAGCUUGUUGGUGGGGUAGUGGCUUACCAAGGCUUUGACGGGUAGCCGGCCUGAGCGGGUGACCGGCCACAUUGGGACUGGGAUACGGCCCAGACUCCUACGGGAGGCAGUAGUGGGGAAUAUUGCACAAUGGGCGGAAGCCUGAUGCAGCAACGCCGCGUGCGGGAUGACGGCCUUCGGGUUGUAAACCGCUUUCGCCUGUGACGAAGCGUGAGUGACGGUAAUGGGUAAAGAAGCACCGGCUAACUACGUG
This 468-nucleotide ribosomal RNA is filed under the name uncultured bacterium. RNAcentral's name for it is "partial 16S ribosomal RNA". It matches the Rfam family "Bacterial small subunit ribosomal RNA", at positions 28 to 507 of the family's 1533-position model. The record is from RNAcentral.